This is a long non-coding RNA of Oryzias melastigma (Indian medaka), 1988 nucleotides long. RefSeq lists it as uncharacterized. The transcript has 4 exons. The record is from RefSeq and is a predicted model, not a curated record. Lineage: Eukaryota; Metazoa; Chordata; Actinopteri; Beloniformes; Adrianichthyidae.
ACUGCCUAAUGGAGCAGAGAGUCUGUGUGUUUUGAUGUGCUUUUAUCAUUGAGGAUAUGAAUGUCUUUGCAUGUACAUUAUUUAUGUCGUAGCGUUCUGCACGGUGUUAACAUGUCCUGGGAGCUUCCCCUCUUAGACUACUGCAUUCUGGAAGCUUCUCACAGAGAAGGGAGGGGUGGGAAAUCUGGAUGUAAGAUGGAGAAAUGGGGAUGGGGAGAGCAGAAGCAUAGCGUGGGCUUGGGGAAUGUGGAAAGAAGGGAAGAGUGAACACAUGAGAAAGAGAGAGAAACAUGAGGACAGGCAGAGGAGGGCAAGAGAGAAAGGGAGUGUGGUGGGUGGAAAGGGGUAGAGCGAGAGAUGAGGAGGCAAGAACGAUGCCGCCUUUUUUGUGAUGGCACAAAGUGUGGCAGCAGCGGCAAGACAGGGAGCGAUGAGAAAGGUAGAAAUGAAAAGGAAGGACUGAGCGAGCUCGACGGGAUUCCCAAACAGGAAUAACUGAGCAGAUGGAAGAAGGAUCUUCUAGAGGAUUGACCACAGGCAGGAAGCCUUCAGAAACGACUCAUAAUGGCAUGUAAAUGAAAAGAAAAAGGCCCACAUUUGAGGGAAUCUUACGAUUGAAAGCACUGCAAUACGAUGUGAGAUGAAAAAUGCAAAUUUCAAGCCAAAGAAAGUGCAUCCAGCAGACAAUGCUGGAAAAGUGACAAAAACGCAGCUCCAAUUAAACAUUGAUGCUGAGAGGAAAGACGGCAGAAACUGUGGUUCAUACAGCGGAGAAGAAACCAGAUGGACGAUAACUUCUGCUGUGUGACUUCUGAAGAAACGGGAGAACCUCUUUGCACAACGAUCGAGUGCAUACGAGUGGAUGUUCAAUAAGACAAGACGGGGGUUUUUGAGGGAUAUGUGUUCCAUGCCAGGCAGCAGGGGGAAGUCAAAAGAAGGAAAUUAAGAAGGAAGUGAGCAUGCUCAUCAAAACAAUACAAACAUAUGUGCUGGACUGAUAGUCUUAACUAAGUCUGACUGCAGCUACACACCACUUCCAGAUGAGAUGGAUCAACACACCUGAGGCAAAAUUUCCAUCUUUUCCGUUCUGACUAGAUUGCAGCUGUUUUUCAUCACAGAUCUUAUUUCAGAAAUUUGACACAAAGAGGACAAUCUGAAGAAGUACCUGCAUGAGCAUUUUUACACUCCUAUUUUUUUGGACACAUUGUUAAUGUCAGUAAAACAUUAAGUUAGGAAUUGCUUUAUAGUAGUAAUAUUGUAGGAUGAUAUAAAGCUCCAGUUGCAGGAGUAAGGAUGAAGGAGCGAGUGCUGUCAGAUUGCAUGGAUGUAGACAGGGCUGUAUCUGAGCGUAUCUUACUGUAACCCCAGCGUCUGUGCGCGCCGUGUGACUUGGAUUUUUCACAAACGACGGAACUCAACCUGAACACCAGGGAGGAGAAACUCAAGAAAAGUGGAGACGAAAAGACCGAAAACAUGGUUGGAUAAAAAACAAAAAGUGCAAUUUGAGGUUGCUGUCUGCAAACUGCUGUAAUCUGCAGUUCUCCCUCAGGAUUAUCUGACAAAAAUCCAUAGGGUAAAAGGAGAUCUCGAUGCAACCCGCAUCGUGCCUUUUGGGGGUAGGGUUCUGUGAUAGUAACCAUGUUCCCCAGCGGCCGUUAUGUCUGCAGCGCUCAUGCAAGAGAGGACGACUCUACAAAUGAUCGAGAAGAGCGGAUCUUAGCUGUGCUGGGAAUCAUUGGAACCAUUCUCAACCUUUUAGUGGUUAUAUUUGUCUAUAUCUAUACCUCUGUGACCUAGUGUGUUUUAUAAGACUUUAGAUUACAUUUCCUCACACUGCCGCCUUCCCUUUUUUGGGGUUUAGUCUUUAAAGUUGGUGUUCUUAGUAAACACAGAUAAUCAUUAAGAGUAUUUGGCUGAUUGAAGCUGGAUUUGUUCACAUCACUGCCACUUUUCUAUGUUCAGCAAUAAAGGGAACAAAGCACAAUUGG